CUCGUCGACGACGGCUUCCGGUUCUCUGGAGCUGGUGCACCGUUGCCCGCAGUCGUGGCUUCCGAUCUGACGGCGGAUAACGAUGAAGAUGCUGCUGUCAUCACCACCGCCAUUGUUCGCUACUCCUUGUCGUUAACAUUACUACAUCUUGAUGGAAUGCAUAAGCUAAUGAUUUCGUGCCAUGGAUUUGUGCAUCACAAGUUAAUGGUGCAGCUUUGGUACGCCGUUAAAACCGUGAGAUCUCAUGGAGUACUCCUUGAUCAGUUUGGAGAAGAAUGAAUUCUCUCUUUCCAGUAACUUAGCUGGCGAGUCAUACUCUGCUAUUCUCCCUGCUCAUGGAAACAUUAGACUUGUUAGAGACUGAUGCAGAUAUUCAUCAAGCACAAUUAGGCAGUAUGAUAAUUACCAUCACUCAGCACUAAGACCAGAUCACUGUCUAUAACUGUGUGGAUUCUGUGAGCUAUUGUGACCACUGUCCUAUCUUGGAAUUCUUGACUGAUGAUCUUCUGUAUGGCUCCAUCAGUUGCUGAGUCGACAGAUGCAGUCGCCUCAUCUAGGACGAGGAUGCUGCUCUUCUUUAGCAGAGCUCUCCCGAGACAGAACAGCUGCCUCUGGCCAACGCUCCAGUUCUCUCCAUUCUCCACCACUGAUGCCACAAUCUACGCGUUUUAGAAGCUUUCAUGGUGAAAAACGAAUGCUGAAAUGUGUCCACAUACUAACCUGAACUUUCCAGCUUAUCUGGCUUUUGACGCACUAUAUCUCCAAGUUGGCAUUUAUCCAACGCCUGCAGAGAAACCAAUAAGGAUCUUAUCAUUUGAUGAUUUUCUGAAAGUAUUUCCUUAUGUUGGCCACAUUUUGUAGUAUACGAUUGUACCUCCCAGAUUUGGUUGUCCGAGUGUCGCUCUAAGGGGUCAAGAUUGCCUCGGAUAGUUCCUUCGAACAUGGUUGGAUCCUGUGGAAUGAUACUGAGCCUUGAUCUGAGAUCAUGAAGGCCUAUCUUAGAUAUGUCGACAUCAUCAAUGACAAUGCUGCCUUCUCUUGCUUCCACAACACGGAAGAUGGCCUGUAUGAGGGUCGAUUUCCCACUACCCGUCCUUCCCACAACCCCUACUUUCUUUCUCCCAGGGAAAGUACAGGUGAUGUUUUUCAACACAGAUGGGAGAUGCUCAGCAUAGCGUAUCUACAACCACAUAAUCAAUGUAUACUUUGUUAUUUACAAGCAACAGAAAGUCAGAAACAAAGAAUACUGAAAGCAAUGCCAAGUUAGUUAGUUAACCUGCAAAUUCGUGAAGCAAAUAGUUCCAAAAUCCGGCCAGUUUGAUGGAGGCCUACUGUGUUCUAUUACCAGUGGGGCUUCACUUGCGAGAUGUGAAUACUGGAGAAUCCGCUCGACUGAUAUCAUUUUGUUUUCUGCAUUGCAUAUAUUCCAUAUGACUGAAGCUUGUUGAGCAUUCAAAUUUAUACCGUAGGUGACUGCAAGUCCUGCAAUGCCUGUACAAAGACAAGUUGUUGGGAGAGUAACUAGCAAGAGCAGAGAAAAGGCAAAGACGAAAUUGGCCAACUGGUUUAGUCUGAAAGACAGCCAUUCCAUGGCAGAUACAUUAUGAAACCACGGUCUUGAAUGGUUGUCGAUGAGGCAGAGGUUAGCACCAGUGAAGCGCUCCUGCUGGUCAAAAGCACGGAUGGUUGCUGCUCCGGUCAGUGAUUCUGCAAAAUGAUGAAGGAUCGGAGCUCCUUCAAUUCCUGCUAGACGCGCUAGCUCUCUUGCUGUUGGUAUGUAAUAUCUCUGAAAACCACAGGCAAAAAAGGUUACAGAUUCAUGGACACAUGAAACAAAAUGAUGCUUAUUUUGCGAGGCAUUAGUCAUACCUGGUACCAGAUGCAGAUAGCCGUCACUGGAAUGAAUAUGACGAAAAUUUCCCACGCAACUUGUGACAUGACAGCUAUAGUUCCAAGCAGCAGAAUUAUAGAGAAGGCGCACGAACCUAAUUUGUAUGCCAUUUCCAAGUCCAAGACACUCUGAUCUGUGGAAACCUGUUCACAGCAGGGUUGAGUCAAAGAAUGCCAUUGGAGCGCGGAGAACACUGUUCAGCAUGUUGCUGAAGAACUUUUCUGCCGUGCGCAGACCUGCUAUGGCGACUAAAGAAGAACGGAGUAGCACACAGAAUGCAC
This is a long non-coding RNA of Salvia hispanica, 2172 nucleotides long. RefSeq lists it as uncharacterized. Lineage: Eukaryota; Viridiplantae; Streptophyta; Magnoliopsida; Lamiales; Lamiaceae. The record is from RefSeq and is a predicted model, not a curated record.